AUGGCAUUUCAGCAAGAGGCCGUAGGAAAGCUGUGGGAGGAGCUCGGCCGCGGCUACAAUCUCAGCGCCAAGCUUCUGGCUUUGCUCAGCCAACCCAGCCACCUCCUCGAUAGCCAUGGCCAGGAGAUGGCUGUGGCCAUAAGCCAACAGCUUUCUCAGGUGUUCAGGGCGUCUCUGUCGAUGUCCAACCCCGGCAACAGUGGUAGGAUGGUGGAAGGCAGGGCGACAGCGCCCGAGGCUGCGAUCAUGGAGGGUAGCAUCAGCCAGGCCACUCCGGCGAUCAUCAGUGGGGAAGAGGUUACUCCCCCAAGAAUAGGUAAAGAAGAGGAGAUUACAGCCGAGCCUUACAAGGAUGGUUACAAAUGGAAAAAAUAUGGGCAAAAGAACAUUAAGAACAGGAAGUUUGCAAGGUUGUACUUCCGAUGCAUGCAUAGCCAUGAGCGCGGCUGCAGGGCGAAGAAGCAGGUGCAGCAGCAGGAUAGCAGCAUCGGCAGUCCUCCAUUGUACAAGGUCAUUUACCUGAACGAGCACACAUGCCACCAAGCGUUUCCCAACGUGAACAUCACCAAUGCAAAUGUACCCGCGACGAGCACUACGACAAGGAACGGCGCCGACUUUGAUCAUGCACGCCGCCACCUCCACGUCGGCGGGAACGGCGAGUUAGAGGACAGAAUCAUGACCUCGACCUUCAGCACGGUCAUCGGCGGAGCUGCCCCUGCUGCUCCGUCGUUGUCGCCCUUGCAGUCGCCGCCUCCCGUGGAAGCGAGCCCGAGCGAUCCGGCGUCGUACGACACGGGUGGCGGACAGUCGCCGAGCCUGCUGGACUUGAGCAUGUGCCUCGACGAGACGAUGAUGGACGAGAUGUAUUUCUCGUGCGGUUCGCCAUUUCGUCCGGUCGAGGCACCCGCAGCUCCAUGGUCGUUGUCGUCCUUGCCGCCGCCGCCGCCGCCGCCCAUAGAAGCGAGCUCGAUUGAUCCGGCGGCGUACAUGCCGUCCCGCGGUGGACACUCACUGAGCCUGGACGCGAUGACGAUGGCGGAGAUUUUUCUCUGGAGCAGCCCGCUAUUUUCUCCACGUUGA
RNAcentral lists this ribosomal RNA (1080 nucleotides) under Triticum aestivum (bread wheat). Its description in RNAcentral is "partial small subunit ribosomal RNA". Lineage: Eukaryota; Viridiplantae; Streptophyta; Magnoliopsida; Poales; Poaceae. The record is from RNAcentral.